UGAUGGAGCCCCAUAACCACUGGAAAAUGGUCGGAGUCGCCACCCAUCGUCCUAACCCUAGUCUUAGCUCCAUCGUACAUGUCCAUGAUUACUCUGAUGUAGGCUUCCGGCACGCUCUUCGCCUCCAAGCACCUCCCUUGGGACCUUGUCAUACGCCUUCUCCAAGUCGAUAAGCGCCAUGUGCAGGUCCUUCUUCUUAUCCCUGAACUGCUCCACCAGCCUCCUGACAAGGUGGAUAGCUUCUGUAGUGGAGCGACCUGGCAUGAA
This 267-nucleotide long non-coding RNA is filed under the name Nicotiana benthamiana. Its description in RNAcentral is "long non-coding RNA (NBEN_LNC038815)". The record is from RNAcentral. Lineage: Eukaryota; Viridiplantae; Streptophyta; Magnoliopsida; Solanales; Solanaceae.